This 1152-nucleotide ribosomal RNA is filed under the name Ormyrus sp. D1367. RNAcentral's name for it is "SSU rRNA". It matches the Rfam family "Eukaryotic small subunit ribosomal RNA", at positions 118 to 1206 of the family's 1831-position model. Lineage: Eukaryota; Metazoa; Arthropoda; Insecta; Hymenoptera; Ormyridae. The record is from RNAcentral.
CCUUAGAUCGUACCCACAUUUACUUGGAUAACUGUGGUAAUUCUAGAGCUAAUACAUGCAAACCAGAGUUCCGACCAGAGAUGGAAGGAACGCUUUUAUUAGAUCAAAACCAAUCGGUGGCGGGUUCGCGCUCGUCCACCGUUUACUUUGGUGACUCUGAAUAACUUUGAGCUGAUCGCACGGUCUUGCACCGGCGACGCAUCUUUCAAAUGUCUGCCUUAUCAACUGUCGAUGGUAGGUUCUGCGCCUACCAUGGUUGUAACGGGUAACGGGGAAUCAGGGUUCGAUUCCGGAGAGGGAGCCUGAGAAACGGCUACCACAUCCAAGGAAGGCAGCAGGCGCGCAAAUUACCCACUCCCGGCACGGGGAGGUAGUGACGAAAAAUAACGAUACGGGACUCAUCCGAGGCCCCGUAAUCGGAAUGAGUACACUUUAAAUCCUUUAACGAGGAUCCAUUGGAGGGCAAGUCUGGUGCCAGCAGCCGCGGUAAUUCCAGCUCCAAUAGCGUAUAUUAAAGUUGUUGCGGUUAAAAAGCUCGUAGUUGAAUCUGUGUGCCACGCUGUCGGUUCAUCGCUCGCGAUGUUUAACUGACAUGAUUGUGGGACGUCCUACCGGUGGGCUUAGCCUCUCGGGGCGGCCCAGCUAAUAUCCCAUCGCGGUGCUCUUCAUCGAGUGUCGAGGUGGGCCGGUACGUUUACUUUGAACAAAUUAGAGUGCUCAAAGCAGGCUAUGUUCGCCUGAAUACUGUGUGCAUGGAAUAAUGGAAUAGGACCUCGGUUCUAUUUUGUUGGUUUUCGGAACCCCGAGGUAAUGAUUAAUAGGGACAGAUGGGGGCAUUCGUAUUGCGACGUUAGAGGUGAAAUUCUUGGAUCGUCGCAAGACGGACAGAAGCGAAAGCAUUUGCCAAAAAUGUUUUCAUUAAUCAAGAACGAAAGUUAGAGGUUCGAAGGCGAUCAGAUACCGCCCUAGUUCUAACCAUAAACGAUGCCAGCUAGCGAUCCGCCGAAGUUCCUCCGAUGACUCGGCGGGCAGCUUACGGGAAACCAAAGCUUUUGGGUUCCGGGGGAAGUAUGGUUGCAAAGCUGAAACUUAAAGGAAUUGACGGAAGGGCACCACCAGGAGUGGAGCCUGCGGCUUAAUUUGACUCAACAC